RNAcentral lists this ribosomal RNA (457 nucleotides) under uncultured bacterium. RNAcentral describes it as "partial 16S ribosomal RNA". It matches the Rfam family "Bacterial small subunit ribosomal RNA", at positions 338 to 795 of the family's 1533-position model. The record is from RNAcentral.
CCUACGGGAGGCAGCAGUGGGGAAUAUUGCACAAUGGGGGAAACCCUGAUGCAGCGACGCCGCGUGAGUGAAGACGUAUUUAGGUAUGUAAAGCUCUAUCAGCAGGGAAGAAAUAAAGUCCUUCGGACUUUGGACGGUACCUGACUGAGAAGCCACGGCUAACUACGUGCCAGCCACCGCGGUCAUACGUAGGGGGCAAGCGUUAUCCGGAUUUACUGGGUGUAAAGGGAGCGUAAACGGCAGCGCAAGUCUGGAGGGAAAUCCCAUGGCUUAAACAUGGAACUGCUUUUGAAACUGUGCAGCUGGAGUGCAGGAGAGGUAAGCGGAAUUCCUAGUGUAGCGGUGAAAUGCGUAGAUAUUAGGAGGAACACCAGUUGCGAAGGCGGCUUACUGGACUGUAACUGACGUUGAGGCUCGAAAGCGUGGGGAGCAAACAGGAUUAGAUACCCCUGUAGUC